This 187-nucleotide non-coding RNA is filed under the name human gut metagenome. The record is from RNAcentral.
GGCAUCCGGCGCCCGAAAGGGCUUAAUAGGGAACCGGGUGAGAAUCCCGGACAGACCCGCUGCUGUAAGCCGACGUUUCCGUUCCCCGCUGCCACUGCAUGAAGGCACGCGCAAAACCACUGGGCCAUCAGCCCGGGAAGGCGGGAAUGGAAGCCAUGUCGACAAGUCAGAAGACCUGCCAUGUAUG